GAAGGGAUAGCUCAGUGGUAGAGUUUCUACUUAGCAUGCAUGAGGUCCUGGGUUCGAUCCCCAGUACCUCCA
This 72-nucleotide transfer RNA is filed under the name Camelus bactrianus (Bactrian camel). It matches the Rfam family "tRNA". From Rfam's summary of the family: Transfer RNA (tRNA) molecules are approximately 80 nucleotides in length. Their secondary structure includes four short double-helical elements and three loops (D, anti-codon, and T loops). Lineage: Eukaryota; Metazoa; Chordata; Mammalia; Artiodactyla; Camelidae. The record is from Rfam by way of RNAcentral. RNAcentral also lists the same sequence under 2 other names.